AUGCAGAAGUUCACCGUAAGGAAGAAGAGCUGGCUGGUGAGGAUGAGGAGAAGGCAAGAUGCGAGGUGCUUGCACGCGCAGCAGCAGGAGGCCGUCCAUGAGGUGCUCCUCUGGAUUCUCCCUUCCGGCGUUGGGCCUAGGUGUUCAACGCUGCCCUCACCAUCCCCUUCUUCCAUUGGCUCAUCGGCCUAUAUAUACAAGGUUUAUCAUCACCCCAUGGAUCAUGUGUUUUUGAAUAACCAGGUUAUUGAGGUGGAGGUCAAUGGUGUGAGGCGGAGAAGUGGAGUGCUUAUAAAGAAACACAGCUGCUGCCUGGAUUCGCCGCUGCCGCCUCCAGUCGCUUCCUCCUGGGCAUCCCGUCUCUAG
RNAcentral lists this ribosomal RNA (366 nucleotides) under Triticum aestivum (bread wheat). RNAcentral describes it as "partial small subunit ribosomal RNA". Lineage: Eukaryota; Viridiplantae; Streptophyta; Magnoliopsida; Poales; Poaceae. The record is from RNAcentral.